GAUGAACGCUGGCGGCGUGCCUAAUACAUGCAAGUCGAACGAGGUGCUUUUUGUAGCAAUACGAGGAGUAUCCUAGUGGCGAACGGGUGAGUAACGCGUGGGUGACCUACCCCAAAGUGUGGAAUAACAGUCCGAAAGGAUUGCUAAUGCCGCAUGUGGUCUGCGAGUUUAGAAAUCGUUGACUAAAGGAGCAAUUCGCUUUGGGAGGGACCUGCGUCCCAUCAGCUAGUUGGUGAGGUAAAGGCUCACCAAGGCGACGAUCUGUAGCGGGUCUGAGAGGAUGAUCCGCCGCACUGGAACUGAGACACGGUCCAGACUCCUACGGGAGGCGGCAGUGGGGAAUUUUGGACAAUGGGCGCAAGCCUGAUCCAGCCAUGCCGCGUGAGUGAAGAAGGCCUCGG
Molecule: ribosomal RNA, 401 nt
Filed under: uncultured bacterium
Lineage: Bacteria
Description: bacterial SSU rRNA
Rfam family: Bacterial small subunit ribosomal RNA
Source: RNAcentral